This 478-nucleotide ribosomal RNA is filed under the name uncultured bacterium. RNAcentral describes it as "partial 16S ribosomal RNA". It matches the Rfam family "Bacterial small subunit ribosomal RNA", at positions 28 to 507 of the family's 1533-position model. The record is from RNAcentral.
GAUGAACGCUGGCGGCGUGCUUAACACAUGCAAGUCGAACGAGAAGUGGAGACGGAAACCUUCGGGCGGAAGACUUUAUUUCGAGUGGCGGACGGGUGAGUAACGCGUGGGUAACCUGCCUCAUACAGGGGGAUAACAGUUGGAAACGACUGUUAAUACCGCAUAAGACCACAGCACCGCAUGGUGCGGGGGUAAAAACUCCGGUGGUAUGAGAUGGACCCGCGUUCGAUUAGCCAGUUGGCGGGGUAACGGCCCACCAAAGCGACGAUCGAUAGCCGAUCUGAGAGGAUGACCGGCCACAUUGGGACUGAGACACGGCCCAAACUCCUACGGGAGGCAGCAGUGGGGAAUAUUGCACAAUGGGGGAAACCCUGAUGCAGCGACGCCGCGUGAGUGAAGAAGUAUUUCGGUAUGUAAAGCUCUAUCAGCAGGGAAGAAAAUGACGGUACCUGAGUAAGAAGCCCCGGCUAACUACGUG